Long non-coding RNA from Amblyraja radiata (thorny skate), 73 nucleotides. RefSeq lists it as uncharacterized. The record is from RefSeq and is a predicted model, not a curated record. Lineage: Eukaryota; Metazoa; Chordata; Chondrichthyes; Rajiformes; Rajidae. The transcript is spliced from 4 exons.
GAGGGGUUUAGAGUGGUUUAGAGCUGUUUAGAGGGAUUCAGAGCAGUUCAGAAGGGUUUAGAUGGGUUUAGAG